Molecule: non-coding RNA, 119 nt
Organism: Oryzias latipes (Japanese medaka)
Lineage: Eukaryota; Metazoa; Chordata; Actinopteri; Beloniformes; Adrianichthyidae
Source: Rfam
CAGCGUGGCCAUUCCGUCCUGGGCACGCCCGGUCUCGUCUGGUCUAGGAAGCACAGCAGGGUUGGGUUUGGUUGGUCCUUGGAUGUGAGACCGCCUGGAAAUGUCAGGUAUUGUGACUU